AGCUUUUUUAGAUCUAACAACAACUGUAAAUACUCGUGUGAGAAAACCGGAGGAUGCACGGUUUAUUGGACUGGGUUAAGUAGAAGUGGUUUUACGAGAGGGUACUGUACAAGUAGUGGUAAAUGUGCCGCAACACCGCCAGAGUGCUCUGACUGCAAUCAGUACUGUCAGCACUACAGG
Long non-coding RNA from Eurytemora carolleeae, 180 nucleotides. RefSeq lists it as uncharacterized. The transcript has 3 exons. Lineage: Eukaryota; Metazoa; Arthropoda; Copepoda; Calanoida; Temoridae. The record is from RefSeq and is a predicted model, not a curated record.